Molecule: ribosomal RNA, 253 nt
Filed under: uncultured bacterium
Lineage: Bacteria
Description: partial 16S ribosomal RNA
Rfam family: Bacterial small subunit ribosomal RNA
Source: RNAcentral
UACGUAGGUGGCAAGCGUUAUCCGGAUUUAUUGGGCGUAAAGGGAACGCAGGCGGUCUUUUAAGUCUGAUGUGAAAGCCUUCGGCUUAACCGGAGUAGUGCAAUGGAAACUGGGAGACUUGAGUGCAGAAGAGGAGAGUGGAACUCCAUGUGUAGCGGUGAAAUGCGUAGAUAUAUGGAAGAACACCAGUGGCGAAAGCGGCUCUCUGGUCUGUAACUGACGCUGAGGUUCGAAAGCGUGGGUAGCAAACAGG